GACGAACGCUGGCGGCGUUCCUAAUACAUGCAAGUUGAGCGCUGAAGGUUGGUACUUGUACCAACUGGAUGAGCAGCGAACGGGUGAGUAACGCGUGGGGAAUCUGCCUUUGAGCGGGGGACAACAUUUGGAAACGAAUGCUAAUACCGCAUAAAAACUUUAAACACAAGUUUUAAGUUUGAAAGAUGCAAUUGCAUCACUCAAAGAUGAUCCCGCGUUGUAUUAGCUAGUUGGUGAGGUAAAGGCUCACCAAGGCGAUGAUACAUAGCCGACCUGAGAGGGUGAUCGGCCACAUUGGGACUGAGACACGGCCCAAACUCCUACGGGAGGCAGCAGUAGGGAAUCUUCGGCAAUGGACGAAAGUCUGACCGAGCAACGCCGCGUGAGUGAAGAAGGUUUUCGGAUCGUAAAACUCUGUUGGUAGAGAAGAACGUUGGUGAGAGUGGAAAGCUCAUCAAGUGACGGUAACUACCCAGAAAGGGACGGCUAACUACGUG
RNAcentral lists this ribosomal RNA (497 nucleotides) under uncultured bacterium. RNAcentral's name for it is "partial 16S ribosomal RNA". It matches the Rfam family "Bacterial small subunit ribosomal RNA", at positions 28 to 507 of the family's 1533-position model. The record is from RNAcentral.